UACGGAGGAUCCAAGCGUUAUCCGGAAUCAUUGGGUUUAAAGGGUCCGUAGGCGGUUUUAUAAGUCAGUGGUGAAAUCUGGUCGCUCAACGAUCAAACGGCCAUUGAUACUGUAGAACUUGAAUUACUUGGAAGUAACUAGAAUAUGUAGUGUAGCGGUGAAAUGCUUAGAGAUUACAUGGAAUACCAAUUGCGAAGGCAGGUUACUAGAAGUAUAUUGACGCUGAUGGACGAAAGCGUGGGGAGCGAACAGG
This 253-nucleotide ribosomal RNA is filed under the name uncultured bacterium. RNAcentral describes it as "partial 16S ribosomal RNA". It matches the Rfam family "Bacterial small subunit ribosomal RNA", at positions 524 to 776 of the family's 1533-position model. The record is from RNAcentral.